This 301-nucleotide ribosomal RNA is filed under the name uncultured bacterium. RNAcentral's name for it is "partial 16S ribosomal RNA". It matches the Rfam family "Bacterial small subunit ribosomal RNA", at positions 509 to 807 of the family's 1533-position model. The record is from RNAcentral.
CAGUCGCCGCGGUAAUACGUAGGGUGCGAGCGUUAAUCGGAAUUACUGGGCGUAAAGCGGGCGCAGACGGUUACUUAAGCAGGAUGUGAAAUCCCCGGGCUCAACCUGGGAAUUGCGUUCUGAACUGGGUGGCUAGAGUGUGUCAGAGGGAGGUAGAAUUCCACGUGUAGCAGUGAAAUGCGUAGAGAUGUGGAGGAAUACCGAUGGCGAAGGCAGCCUCCUGGGAUAACACUGACGUUCAUGCCCGAAAGCGUGGGUAGCAAACAGGAUUAGAGACCCGCGUAGUCCCUGUCUCUUAUAC